GGGAGCGUAGCUCAGCGGGAGAGCACUGCAUUGACAUUGCAGGGGUCACUGGUUCAAUCCCAGUCGUUCCCACCA
RNAcentral lists this transfer RNA (75 nucleotides) under Rhodospirillales bacterium. Its description in RNAcentral is "tRNA-Val(gac)". It matches the Rfam family "tRNA". From Rfam's summary of the family: Transfer RNA (tRNA) molecules are approximately 80 nucleotides in length. Their secondary structure includes four short double-helical elements and three loops (D, anti-codon, and T loops). Lineage: Bacteria; Pseudomonadati; Pseudomonadota; Alphaproteobacteria; Rhodospirillales. The record is from RNAcentral. RNAcentral also lists the same sequence under 1 other name.